RNAcentral lists this ribosomal RNA (870 nucleotides) under Beauveria bassiana. RNAcentral's name for it is "eukaryotic LSU rRNA". It matches the Rfam family "Eukaryotic large subunit ribosomal RNA", at positions 40 to 942 of the family's 3401-position model. Lineage: Eukaryota; Fungi; Ascomycota; Sordariomycetes; Hypocreales; Cordycipitaceae. The record is from RNAcentral.
AUAUCAAUAAGCGGAGGAAAAGAAACCAACAGGGAUUGCCCCAGUAACGGCGAGUGAAGCGGCAACAGCUCAAAUUUGAAAUCUGGCUCUCAGGGCCCGAGUGUAAUUUGUAGAGGAUGCUUUUGGCGAGGUGCCUUCCGAGUUCCCUGGAACGGGACGCCACAGAGGGUGAGAGCCCCGUAUGGUCGGACACCGAGCCUCUGUAAAGCUCCUUCGACGAGUCGAGUAGUUUGGGAAUGCUGCUCAAAAUGGGAGGUAUAUGUCUUCUAAAGCUAAAUAUUGGCCAGAGACCGAUAGCGCACAAGUAGAGUGAUCGAAAGAUGAAAAGCACUUUGAAAAGAGGGUUAAAAAGUACGUGAAAUUGUUGAAAGGGAAGCGCCUAUGACCAGACUUGCGCCCGGUGAAUCACCCAGCGUUCUCGCUGGUGCACUUUGCCGGGCACAGGCCAGCAUCAGUUCAGCGCGGGGGAGAAAGGCUUCGGGAAUGUGGCUCCCUCGGGAGUGUUAUAGCCCGCUGCGUAAUGCCCUGCGCCGGACUGAGGUACGCGCAUUGCAAGGAUGCUGGCGUAAUGGUCAUCAGCGACCCGUCUUGAAACACGGACCAAGGAGUCGUCUUCGUAUGCGAGUGUUCGGGUGUCAAACCCCUACGCGUAAUGAAAGUGAACGUAGGUGAGAGCUUCGGCGCAUCACCGACCGAUCCUGAUGUUCUCGGAUGGAUUUGAGUAAGAGCAUACGGGGCCGGACCCGAAAGAAGGUGAACUAUGCCUGUAUAGGGUGAAGCCAGAGGAAACUCUGGUGGAGGCUCGCAGCGGUUCUGACGUGCGAAUCGAUCGUCAAAUAUGGGCAUGGGGGCGAAAGACUAAUCGAACCU